UCUCCGUAGGUGAACCUGCGGAGGGAUCAUUACCGAGUGAGGGCCCCUGGCCCGACCUCCAACCCUUUGUUCUCAAAACCACUGUUGCCUCGGGGGUGACCCGGGCCCGUCGGCCCAGGGCGCCCGACGGACAAUUCCAAAACACUGCAACGGUGCGUCGGAUUACAAAGUUUAAUGAAUUAAAACUUUCAAUAACGGAUCUCUUGGUUCUG
RNAcentral lists this unclassified non-coding RNA (212 nucleotides) under plant metagenome. Its description in RNAcentral is "partial contains small subunit ribosomal RNA, internal transcribed spacer 1, and 5.8S ribosomal RNA". The record is from RNAcentral.